CAGUAGCCGCGGUAAUACGAAGGGUGCAAGCGUUAAUCGGAAUUACUGGGCGUAAAGCGUGCGUAGGCGGUUUGUUAAGUCUGCUGUGAAAUCCCCGGGCUCAACCUGGGAAUGGCAGUGGAUACUGGCAAGCUAGAGUGUGUCAGAGGAUGGUGGAAUUCCCGGUGUAGCGGUGAAAUGUGUAGAGAUCGGGAGGAACAUCAGUGGCGAAGGCGGCCAUCUGGGACAACACUGACGCUGAGGCACGAAAGCGUGGGGAGCAAACAGGAUUAGAUACCCCCGUAGUCCCUGUCUCUUAUAC
RNAcentral lists this ribosomal RNA (301 nucleotides) under uncultured bacterium. RNAcentral's name for it is "partial 16S ribosomal RNA". It matches the Rfam family "Bacterial small subunit ribosomal RNA", at positions 509 to 807 of the family's 1533-position model. The record is from RNAcentral.